This 382-nucleotide ribosomal RNA is filed under the name uncultured Acidovorax sp. Its description in RNAcentral is "bacterial SSU rRNA". It matches the Rfam family "Bacterial small subunit ribosomal RNA", at positions 999 to 1382 of the family's 1533-position model. Lineage: Bacteria; Pseudomonadati; Pseudomonadota; Betaproteobacteria; Burkholderiales; Comamonadaceae. The record is from RNAcentral.
UUAGUAGAUAGAGGAGUGCUCGAAAGAGAACCGUAACACAGGUGCUGCAUGGCUGUCGUCAGCUCGUGUCGUGAGAUGUGGGUUAAGUCCCGCAACGAGCGCAACCCUUGUCAUUAGUUGCUACAUUCAGUUGGGCACUCUAAUGAGACUGCCGGUGACAAACCGGAGGAAGGUGGGGAUGACGUCAAGUCCUCAUGGCCCUUAUAGGUGGGGCUACACACGUCAUACAAUGGAUGGUACAAAGGGUCGCCAACCCGCGAGGGGGAGCCAAUCCCAUAAAGCCAUUCGUAGUCCGGAUCGCAGUCUGCAACUCGACUGCGUGAAGUCGGAAUCGCUAGUAAUCGUGGAUCAGAAUGUCACGGUGAAUACGUUCCCGGGUCUU